Molecule: ribosomal RNA, 441 nt
Filed under: uncultured bacterium
Lineage: Bacteria
Description: partial 16S ribosomal RNA
Rfam family: Bacterial small subunit ribosomal RNA
Source: RNAcentral
CCUACGGGGGGCUGCAGUGGGGAAUCUUGCGCAAUGGGCGAAAGCCUGACGCAGCAACGCCGCGUGCGGGAAGAAGGCCCUCGGGUUGUAAACCGCUUUCAGAAGGAACGAAACUGACGGUACUUUCAGAAGAAGGUGCGGCCAACUACGUGCCAGCAGCCGCGGUGACACGUAGGCACCAAGCGUUGUCCGGAUUUAUUGGGCGUAAAGAGCUCGUAGGCGGUUCGAUAAGUCGGGUGUGAAAUCUUUGGGCUCAACCCAAAGCGUGCAUUCGAUACUGUUGUGACUAGAGUUCGGUAGGGGAGUGGGGAAUUCCUAGUGUAGCGGUGAAAUGCGCAGAUAUUAGGAGGAACACCGGUGGCGAAGGCGCCACUCUGGGCCGAAACUGACGCUGAGGAGCGAAAGCGUGGGUAGCAAACAGGAUUAGAUACCCCGGUAGUC